UUCUCAGACUUCCAGCGUCUGGCAGGCUUCUGGGCACUGAUUUUCCUCAGACGGGCAGGUUUGUGGGAAACAGGAGGCUUGGGCUUGGAUCCACUCUCCUCUCCUCUCUUCUCCGGGCAGCCCAGCUGAGGAGGGAAGAAGUUCUGGCUGCUGGGCAGAGCUGGGUGUCUCGUUCCUGGGGCAGCCUGAAGAGCGGACGGCCGGGACACACGGAGAGCGGAAGAUGGGCAGUGGUGACACCACAUAUAAGCAUGAAAAGAAGUUUUAAAGCUGCAAACCCCAGAGGCCAGCAAGGCAGGCAGCAUCAGCCCUCAGUGCUGUGACAGAGAAAAAUAAACCCACCUGGUAAUUGCAGAUGGUUGACAAAAAACUCUAAUUUUGUGGGAACGGGGCUACAUCUAACCCUUGCCAGAAUUAUCACCGGAGGCGCCCCUGGCUGACGGGGACAGUCUUCCCAGAGCUGACAGAUAAUGCAGGGGAACAAGAAGUGCACGGACGGGCUCAGCGACUCCUCGAGCAUCGGCAGCGUGCUGGACGAUGCAGACAGGGAGGUGAGCAGCCUCACAGACCGGGCGUUCCGGAGCUUGUGCAUCUCGGAGGACACAUCCUUCCAUGACUCCGAUCUGGCCCUGUCCCCGGAUACCACUCGCCAGGUGUUUGGGACUUUCCACCAGGGAACGGUGAGCCACACCCACAGGAAAAGUGGCAUUUGGAGCCAGCUACCGGCCCAAGGCACAGAGCAUGCAGGCUGGGCAGCCACCUUCCAACAGCUACCCAAGUACGUGCAGGGGGAGGACAAGUACCCCAAAAGCAGCCCCCCUCCGACGCCAGCCCAGAGGAGACUGGAGGUGCCAGUUGCUGGCCUGAGAAGCAGCAACAAGCCUAUCUCCAAAGUAUCCUCACUAAUCCAGUCCUUCAACAGGACGGAGAGCCAUCGUUGCGAGAUCAGGCCUGCAACCAGCAAGCCCCCAGCUCUGAAAACCACUCCCAAAUUUGCUCCUCUUCCAGACAACAGUGUCAACUUCUGCUUCGAUUCCGCCUUUCUGACAGUCAGGAGGGUGCCCGCUGAAGUUUCCAGUGCCCAUCAGAGCAGCCACCAGCCCGGCAGGAAGCACGGAGAACAGGAGUCCCCCCAAAAUCCUGAAAUGGCCUGUCAUGGCUCCAGCAGCUUCCUCCCAGCGCCUGACAACGCGGCCAUCUCAUUAGAGUCAAAGUUCUCCUCCCCAGCCCGCAAGCCACCCCCGGGUGAGGCUGGCAGAAGCAAGGAGUGGGCUCAUAAAGGGACCUUUCUACACAGUGAAAACAGUGCUUUUGAGUCGUGGCACGCCCACCAACCAAAGUUGCUUGAGAGAAAGAACGCUGCUGAAACUGUCCCAGAAAGCAAAGCUCCCAGAUGUUACAAGGACAUGCCCCUGCUACGAGAACCCCACCCUCCUGAGCACGAAGUCUCGCCCUGCCAAGGCCAGGCCAGCUUCAGUGAGGCUGAGAGCAGACUGGCCGCCGGGGCUCUGCUGGCACCUGGGCCCUGGGGGUGCAGGGAUCCAGGAGCCCCGGUGUCUGCCAUGGAGGGAGAAGCUCCCAGCUCGCAGCCUGACCCUCAAGUGAAGCCUACCCAGGCCCCGUGGAGGAAACCAAAGACUGGCAAAAGAGGGAAAGCAAGUCUACAAGAGGCUGCAGAAGAAAAGAGACAGAGCAACAGGAGAGGCCCACCUCUGUACACAAAGCACGACCCCCAGGGGCAAUUUCCAGAAAAUGAUGCUCUUGACAUGCCUGCGGACCCAGGUGAGCAUUACAACCCCCCUUUCAACAUCAGCAAGCUCCUGACGCCCAUCAUACCCACCAAGCUCGCCCCAGAUCCGUCAGACAGUCCGCCCGCGGAGACCCCCUCGCCCCCAGGACAGCUAAACGGGUACCAGGAGAAGGAGCCCAGUGAAUGCCAGUCUCGAGACAGUUACAAGUCCAAAGCCCCUAGCCUGCUGUUCAACCUCAAGGACGUGCGGAAGCGUGUGAAGAGCACGUACAGCCCCUCACCUCUCCUGCGAGACCUGGAUGAGCAAAGCAGAGGGAAGGUUGGCGGGAAGCAAGAGCCCGCGAGCAAUGGCAUCAUGCUCGCCAAUGGGCUCGAGGACAGUCCCCCAGACGAGCUCUCUAAGGAGAGACCUGAGGAUGCCCUUACUGCAUCACAGCUCGGUGCCCAGGAAGACCCUGCAGCCGGCCUCAGUGGGGCCCCAGCAGACAGCUGUCUAACCCCUAGCACACCUCCAGUCGUCGCCAACACCCCCUUCUGUGUCAACGGGGAGGCUGCCGAGAGCAGUCACGAGCACGCCUACACCCACGGAGGGUCGGAGCUGGGGCCCGGCAGGCCCAGAUGGCGUCCAGACUCCAGGGAAGGCGGCCCCAGGAAGCACCUGUCCCUGAAGCUUUGCAGCAGGGAGCCUGAGGCUGACGAGGCCGCAGAGAAAACAAGGACCCAGCUAGAGAACGGGCCCUCGAGAUCCGACUCGCAGGAGACAGAACCCAAGAGAGAGGCAGGACUGCAGAACCCACACUUGACCCAGAAAUUCUCCCCAGGGCCCCUGUCCCCUGAGGAGGAAGAUGUGUUUUACAGCGACAGCCAGUCCGAUUUUAUGCCGAGCAUCCAAGGCAAGGCCAAAUUCAGCACCAGCUCGUCAGAUCAAUCCUUUGCCUCGUUUGAUGAUCAGCAGAAGACGUGGUUUACUGAGAGCCAGCAGGAAGACAGGAGGAACGGCAUGAGUGCAGGUGACCGUCAGAGGGACGAGAAGGAGAAGGUGGGCGGGGAUGCAGAGGAGCCUCAGUGCCGGGCCGCCGGCGCUGGGGGCGCGCGCAGGGAGGUGCGGGGCGAGGUGCUGGGAAGAGAAGGGGAAGAUGUGUGUGAAGGAAGGUCCGGGAAGGCGUCCGCGGAAGAAGCUAAUCCCAGAGGCUCUUGGGUUGGGGCACGUAGGGGCACCUCCCUUUCACACGCCAAAGACCCUGUGCCCUCCUCGUCUUCUGCUACAAACAAGCACAUACUGUUUACGAUUAAAGACAACACGCUCAGAGCCACCCCGGUAAUAAAACCCAUCAUGCUGCCUCUCCUGAGGACCAUGUCCUCCGAAGACUCUCUGGGCAGUGCCCAUAGAGAGGAGGACUCGCCAAGGCCAGGGUGGGGGGAGGAUGCUGGUUUCUGUGCCCCUAAAAGCCAGGAGAUGCCUGGCACGCUGGCACCUGCUAACAUGCAGGGCACACACAUGAAGCCCUUGGCCCGUGGCGUCACAGAGGAACCCGGGCAGGUGUCCAGCACAGCCAGAAUGGAGACCUCCCAGCUAGUCCCAAAGGGGAAUCUCCCACCUCUGCCUCUGGGGGAGGGGGGGGCCGGGGUGAAGCCACCCCCAGAUGCAGCGCAUAAAGUCUUGGCACACGAUGUCAAGAGCAGUCCCACAGACUCAGGGAAGCCGGCCGCCCCCCGGGACAUCCCAACAAUCGCUUUACCUGAGGGUGACUUAGAAGACCGGCCACUGCCAUGGCAGCUGGGAACUUGCUGGGAAGAACGGACACAAGGUGCCAAUAGUCACUUUUUGCCUAUGCCCAGGGCAGGGCCACCCGGGAGAAGACCCGUGCAUGCUGAGAUGGCGACUUCCCCCAACCCCAGCUCCCUGGGGGAGAGCAGCGUGUGCUCCCCUGCCGCCAGUGAGCUGGAGCUACUGCCAGAGGAGCCCCCUCAAGCCAGCCCCUGGGCCAGCCCCGGUCCUGCCAGGCUCACCAGAAGGGAGGACCUGACCCACGCCCUCGUGUGGGAGGCUAGCUCAGACCCUCAACUCGAGCCCUCGGCAGAAGACCUCCGGACGCUCUCUCCGCGAGACUCGCUGCCGGAUAUGGCCACCGGCUCUGCAGGCCCCCCCGGGAGGCCGGCGCUCCCUGCUCAGCUGGAGAGGGCGGCCAGCAAGCCGCCCGCAGUCCCGCCCAAGACAGAGAAGGCCCUGCGGCGGGCAAAGAAGCUGGCAAGCAAGAGGAGAAAGACCGACCAGUUGCCAGAGAAGCUCGGCGAGCCCCGGGAGGGAAAGCCCUGCCCAGAGGACUUGGAGUGGACAGAGCGAAGGCCACCGUCCCCUGGAGAGAGGCCGCCACACAGCUUCCCCGCGGUGCGCUCCGUGCCCCCUCCCCUGCAUCGCCACUCCGUGUCCGGCUUCUCGGAGCCCACCGGGGGACAGCCUGGGGGGCCCCAGUCCCUCACGCCCUUGUCCCCUUACCCCGCCACCCAGAAGGUGCUCCAGGACCCCCAGUCCGGAGAGUACUUUCUCUUCGACUUGCCACUCCAGGUGAAAAUCAAGACCUUCUACGACCCAGAGACAGGCAAGUACGUCAAGGUCUCCAUCCCCUCGUCCGAGGGGGCCUCCCCUGAGCCGCCCCUGCCGGAAGCCCCGGCCGCCCCCUACCUGCUGUACCCCGGCCUCCGGCCCGUGCCCGUGACAGCCCUGACGCCCCUGCGCUGCUCCUCUCAGCUCUCCGCCCCCACCUUCCUCAGGCAGGGCCCUCGCGCCCCGGGGGCCGCCCGAGCCCGGCCCCAGAGUGCCCACGAGACUGGACUGCAGCUGGCCCUGGGGCCUCAGGGAGACCCCGCCCAGCACUCUGCAGGCCAGCGCCCCCAGGGGCCUCCCCGGGGCCCAGAAGAGGAAGGUGCAGAAGCUCCAGGCCUGGGCAUCAUCUCCACAGACGACCUGGAAGACUUUGCCACAGAAGGCAUUUCUUGAGAAUUGCAGGAGACGACCCCCAGCCCCAGAUAAACCCAGAGGAGCUUACUUCCCCUGCCCCAGAACAAGUAACACACACACGCACACACACACACACACACACACACACACACACACCACCACCGCCUAGCCAUUGGAGAUCCCUAGAGUCCAAAAGGAAGUGGGGGUGCUGAGACAGCCCCCUCUGGAGGGCCCCAGGCUCCCCUCUGAUGAAGGGCGCUGCUUGUGUGACAGCCCCUCCGUGGCCCUCCCGGAUCCUUUUCGCUCCCCUCUCCCACCCUCCCUCCCUGCCCUGGCCGUCCCUGGUCCUGAGGGUCCCUCUGCCCCUGUGCCCACCCAGACCCCUGAGCCCCCCAGACACAGUAGCUGGUUCCCAGGUCCCUCGGGGAGAAUUGGAGGACCCCCAAGGCAAUCUCGCAGGAAUGUUUGUUUGCAUCAAAGCGGUUUUCUUCACAGGGGGAGACUCACCUCUGAAGGCUGUUUUCUGGUAAAGAAAAGGCCACCUUUCACAAAGUGAAACAGGAGUUAAAAUCUAACAGAGAAGAAAGACCAUCGCAAGCCCACGUGCGAGGUGAUUCACCAGCUUGCUCUGAGGAGCGCCGAGGCUGCCUGCAAGGAAAGGGCUCCCUUCAGGAGAGCGCAGGCAAGCCAAGCCAAGAAACACAGUCAACUGAGGAAGAAACCAGAAUCUCCCAGCUUCAAUCUGUCUAUUAAAGAUGGCCCUGAUUAAAUACUAAUAGGCUUGA
Molecule: non-coding RNA, 5494 nt
Organism: Microcebus murinus (gray mouse lemur)
Lineage: Eukaryota; Metazoa; Chordata; Mammalia; Primates; Cheirogaleidae
Source: RefSeq, a predicted model, not a curated record